AGUCCCGGGGUGUUACAUGUCAGAUUGCAAAUCCGAAGACGCAGGUUAGUCCCUGCCGGGGCUU
Molecule: transfer RNA, 64 nt
Filed under: Phenacostethus smithi
Lineage: Eukaryota; Metazoa; Chordata; Actinopteri; Atheriniformes; Phallostethidae
Description: tRNA-Cys
Rfam family: tRNA
About the family: Transfer RNA (tRNA) molecules are approximately 80 nucleotides in length. Their secondary structure includes four short double-helical elements and three loops (D, anti-codon, and T loops).
Source: RNAcentral